Molecule: ribosomal RNA, 370 nt
Filed under: uncultured bacterium
Lineage: Bacteria
Description: bacterial SSU rRNA
Rfam family: Bacterial small subunit ribosomal RNA
Source: RNAcentral
UUUCCUUCGGGACAGUGGUGACAGGUGGUGCAUGGUUGUCGUCAGCUCGUGUCGUGAGAUGUUGGGUUAAGUCCCGCAACGAGCGCAACCCUUAUCCUUAGUAGCCAGCAGGUGAAGCUGGGCACUCUGGGGAAACUGCCGGGGAUAACCUGGAGGAGGGGGGGGAUGACGUCAAAUCAUCUUGCCCCUUAUGACUGGGGCUACACACGUGCUACAAGGGCGUAAACAAAGUGAAGCAAACCCGUGAGGUCAAGCAAAUCACAAAAAUAACGUCUCAUUUCGAAUUGUAGUCUGCACCUCGACUACAUGAAGCUGGAAUCGCUAGUAAUCGCAAAUCAAAAUGCUGCGGUAAAUACUUUCCCGGGUUUUG